This 322-nucleotide ribosomal RNA is filed under the name Pristionchus aerivorus. RNAcentral's name for it is "eukaryotic LSU rRNA". It matches the Rfam family "Eukaryotic large subunit ribosomal RNA", at positions 646 to 944 of the family's 3401-position model. The record is from RNAcentral. Lineage: Eukaryota; Metazoa; Nematoda; Chromadorea; Rhabditida; Neodiplogasteridae.
GACCCGUCUUGAAACACGGACCAAGAAGUCUAGUAUGUACGCGAGUCAUUGGGUAUCAAAACCUAUUGGCGCAAUAAAUGUGAAGGGCGACUUGUGCGUCUGAUAUGUGAUCCGUCAGUCUCGGCUGGCGGCGCAACAUAGUCCCAUGCCUACUGCUUGCAGUGGUGUGGAGAUGGAGCGUACACACUAGGACCCGAAAGAUGGUGAACUAUGCCUGAGCAGGACGAAGUCAGAGGAAACUCUGAUGGAAGUCCGAAGCGGUUCUGACGUGCAAAUCGAUCGUCGGACUCGGGUAUAGGGGCGAAAGACUAAUCGAACCAUC